GUCAAAAUAAAUACAGUACUCUCAUCAACCACAUAUUAAAUAGUGUGAGUGAGUGACCUAAGGGAGGAGCACAACGAAAGAAGCCAAAGAAGAGAUUCUAGAUCUAAGCUCUCCCACUUGCUUUUAUGCAGAAUUCACUCUUUCAUAUAUAAAGGUAAACUUUCAUCUAUGCUCUUCUCUUUCUUCUGGUACAUGUUUUUUCGUUUGGAUAAACCCUAAUUCUUUUAGAUCUGGUUGUACAAAAAUUUCUGGUUCAUGUUUUUUCUCCUGGAUUAAGAUGUUGCACUUCUCAUAAAUGGUCUAAAUCUAACCACAUACACACAAAUAUCUCAAUGGUUUUUAAUUUUCCGCAUAAGGCUAUAGCCUCUCAUCAUGAUUCAUCAGUGCAAUUAUUGAAGAUUUCAGGCUGUAGAAGUUUUUAAGGCAAUGGCUUCUGAUUAUUUUGACCAGACUCAACCAUUUGCAAUUAUAUCAACUAUGACACAAUGGAUCCUCUUCUUCCCUCCACCCCUAACAACUAUGAUUUCUUUGAUUAAAAUACAAGUUAUUUCUUUAUUUCUUUUAACGUAGAUGAUGAGGUAUGCUUAAAACCAUUAUGAACUUUUGGGUAUUCAAAGUUUUUACGAGCAUUUUACGCACAUUUUUUUACAUGGUAAUGUUAGACUCCUACAAAACCCAAAUCAAAAGAUAAGGGAAUUACACGGCAAACCGAGUCAGUUGCAUCAAAAAAAGAGAUUCAUGCUAAAGAGAUUGAACAAGUCAGUAGGGGUAAGGAGCCUGAAAUUAACAACAUUUCCACACUAAAAAUGGUUGUUGCUAAGAAGACCGCGGCUAGCAAAAAACCUACUUCUCAGUAUAGGUCGUGCCUUCGGACAUUAUUAGGAAUAACAGAUAUUCCAGAUGGUGGUACUCAUCUUAUACCUAUGAAGGCAGACAUUUUUGGUUUUGAAUACAUGGAAGCAAUUGGUAAAGAGGAUAUGGAUCAAGGUUUUAAACAUUUGGAAUUAGGCCUCGGUGUUAUCGGUACUUACAUCAGGCUGUAUGACAAAUUGAUGCGCCCGUAUGGAUUGGAAGAAAGAUUCGCUUUCUUAGCUCCCAACACUAUUAACGCAGGGUUAAUCAAAAUAAAACCAGAUGAUUUCAUAGCAUAUGUACUCGAUUUAUUUGUGGCCAGCAAAGAUACAGAAAAGUUGUUCUUUUUACCAUUUAAUACUAGCAACGAGUUAGAUAUCCAUCCUAACUUCAUUUAUUAUAAUUUUUUGUUUUUUGACGUUGUGUAGAAAAUUUUCAUCUAACCUUUGUUUAAUCUUAUAGUGGACACUGGUUAUUGGUUGCGAUUAAUCUUGUAAGAGAAAUUAUACCUUUGGAUCAAAUAGAGAUUCCAUCCACGUACUUUGACGAAUUCAAGUGUGCUCAUUACUCAAAAGAUCAAUCGGAUGAACUUAUGGAGAAAUGGUGUCAAUUCAUUAUGGAGUUGAGAAUUUUAUAAGGUUAUAGGUGCAGAUGUAGAAGAUAGAGCUAACAAGUUCAUUGUUGUUUUUUAGAAAUUCUCGAAGAUAGUAAUAACAUCAAUUUAACAUUUUAGAAUUUUCAAGUUGUAUCAUCAAUUUUCAAGUUGUUGUAUAUAUCAUUAAUUUAUAUAUCAGGUUCUUGUAUGACAAAUUGAUGCGUCCACGUCAAUUGACAGAAAGAUUUUCUUUCUUAUCUCCAACCUGUAUCAACACACGAUUAAUCGAUCAAAAUCCAAAUCCAACCAAAGAGUACUUAGUCGGUGCAUUUAUGACCAACAGAGAUACAUAAAAGUUGUUUCUUUUACCAUAUAAUACUGGCCAUGGUGGACACUGGUUGUUGGUUGCGAUUAAUCUUAUAAGUGAAAUAGUAUAUUAUCUGGAUUCAUUAGUUGAUGAUCAAACAAAAUACCCUGAUAUGAAGGAGAUGAUUGAUACGUAAGUGAGAUUGUUCUAAAUAUUCGUGUGUAUAUUUAUUUAUUUAUGCUAGAUGGUUCUAAAUAUUCGUUUAUAUUUUGUUAGAGGUAUACAAAUAUUCCGAUCACAAAGAAAAGCUCGAGUACCACAGAGUAAAGCAAACUAUUUUUCUCUUUUAAGUGAAGAGGAUGGCAUGUGAUUAUUUAGAUUUAUAUCUAGAUGUGAUAUUAUACCAACUAUGAUUUCUUUGAUUAAAUUAUAUCAGGGUCGUGUAACAGAGGUAGUGUCGCAUUCCUCCUUCUCUUUUCCUUUCCCUUAAGUUUCCAGCAUUAGAGACCUCAUUGAAGACACAAGAAGAGGCUGCAUUGGACAAUGAGGCUGCUAGAGUUGAGGCCGUUGCAGCAUUUGCAACAUUUAAUGAGAGAACCGUUUAAAGAUGAUUAACGUGCAUUAAUGCUGAAAAUCAAGUUUGAAGAAUUUCAACAACGUAUGUAGGCGGUGUUGGUGAUUUUAGUAUCAUCAAUGUAUUUUGGUAAUAAUGUGAUUUACUGUAGGCCGAUGCAAUUAUGCGUUAAGCUUGAAACGAGUUAGGGUAGUGCAGAGUGCAUGCUCGUAGAGCCAAACGUGCAAUUGAAUACAGGGGGCGGAGCCCCUGGCGGGGUGCAGGGCAGCGCCCUGCCGGGGUCCAAGGGGCAGCGCCCCUGGCUGAGGUCAGCGGGCGGGGUGCAGGGCAGCACCCCGAACGAAAUUUUCGUUUGAAUAGUUGCACCCUUUCCCAACCGACAUAAACGUUUUACCGAACAGGUGAGUCGUUUCCCAACCAACAUAACUGUUUUUACUGAACAGGUGUGUCAUUUCGGUUUCUAUUGUUGAUCUCCUAUAUAAGGAGUCAUUUGGCCUCGGUUUCGAAGACGAAAAACAUACUUCCUCUACAUUCUGAUCUGUUCUCCAUUGUCAGAAACAGAUUGUUCUUCGAGAAUUAUCCCCGCAAAGAUUUUGUGAACCCAGACAAGAAUAAGGUCGAAAUACUUUGUUCGGAAAGUGAACGAACACGAUUUUUGAAGAUAUCCAAGAUUAGCAUACCUAUAUCUAACAGGCGGGUUCUACUCUAGGGUUGGUCCUAUUACUCGUCUUCAUUAUGAAGAUGAAUUUUAUGAUCAAUUAGUGGAUAAAGAUGAACGAUAUAUCUUAUCUUCUAUUAUGUUUGACAUAUUUUUUAUUUUGAUGGAUUAUUUGAAUUUAUGAUUGUAGAAAAUAUUUUGAUGGAUUAGUUGAAUAUGAUUAUCUUUGUAGUUGAAUAUGGUUGAUGGAUUAGUUGACAUUUUGUGAAUAUACUGAUAUGAAUACCUAUGCAAUUAAAU
Molecule: long non-coding RNA, 3286 nt
Organism: Vicia villosa (hairy vetch)
Lineage: Eukaryota; Viridiplantae; Streptophyta; Magnoliopsida; Fabales; Fabaceae
Exons: 9
Source: RefSeq, a predicted model, not a curated record